Molecule: long non-coding RNA, 1201 nt
Organism: Panthera uncia (snow leopard)
Lineage: Eukaryota; Metazoa; Chordata; Mammalia; Carnivora; Felidae
Exons: 3
Source: RefSeq, a predicted model, not a curated record
UACCCCUGAUUUGUAUCUCAGGGACAAAUCUGGCUUAUUAGCACCGUUAUUUGUAAACUGCUAACCUGGCUCCCUGUGCUGUUGUAAUGCUAUCUUGAUGGGUUGCUGUGAAAAUGUGAAGUUGUCUGUCAGGCAGGAAAAAUUAUGUAAAAAUGAUGUGGGUAUAGAAAAUGGGAUCGACAAAAUGUAAUAAACUCCUCCUGGGCUGAAGAGCAGAGCUGCAUAUGUAAUGAAGUACUUUAGGAUUACGUCACCUUUUAUAUAACAUCUGGCAGUGACUUUUAUUUCAGAGCUAAUUUGAAGAAGCCAGGCGCUUUUCUUUUCCUUUCCCCAAGACUGCCUUUAUCUGAAAAGAAGAAAGAAAGAACUGUUACAUUUUGCAUGCAAAGAAAGCCAGAGUGUCUAGAUUACUCCCUUAAGGUAAUGGAGAAAAGAAAAAGAAAUUGAAAAAGGUCAGGUGAACACGGCAGAAGGAAUGAAGAGGUUUGUGUGAUUCUUAGUGAAAUUGGACCAGUCUAAGCAACCAGACAGGCCUGGAGUGAGGGGACGUUUGAAUUCUCUUCAGUCAGAAAGACCCACUACACUGGGAGAUCUCCCAAGAAGAUCCCCUUCGGGCUGAUAGACUGUCUUUUCACUGCAUCAAAUCUGGCCUUUUAGAGCUAAUCAGAAGGAGCUUCAGUCCUGGUAAUGGUAGCAAAACAGUCAGCCAAAGGUCUAAAGAGAAAAACUAAUCAAGAGGAAAGAAGAAAAACCACGAGAAGUGAUACUGCGUUCACUUGGGGAUUAUUUGUGAUGAGAUUGAAUAUAAAUGUAAGAAUCCCGGAAAUGUCAAAAGAAGGCCUUGGAUAAAGCACUCAAAGCCCUGUUUAUCUGUGGGAAAAAGAUUUGUAUUUAGUAGUGGCCUAGUUUUUAAUUUUUCCCGCUCCUCAUAAGGUUUUUGUCCCCUGCACAUAAGGGUUUAAUGCAACUGGUUUUGAAAUAUUUCCCAUUUUGAAUUUGGAAGGCUUAUACUUCAGACCCAGGCUUUUCCUCUCUGUUCUUCCUUUCCAAGAGAUGUCAUUGUACUUCUGCCCAAACACUGCACUAUCCAGAAAAGAAGUGUGUGUCCACGUGUGCCUGUGUAAGACCACUCUUACCAAACUUUAGAGUAGAAUGUACUGCGCGCGUGCGCGCACGCACGCGCACACACACACACACACAC